UGGAGCCUACGGGACGCAGCAGUGGGGGAUAUUUCACAAUGGGGGAAACCCUGAUGCAGCGACGCCGCGUGAGUGAAGAAGGAUUUCGGUAUGUAAAGCUCUAUCAGCAGGGAAGAAAAAAGACGGUACCUGACUAAGAAGCCCCGGCUAACUACGUGCCAGCAGCCGCGGGAAUACGUAGGGGGCAAGCGUUAUCCGGAUUUACUGGGGGUAAAGGGAGCGUAGAAGGCAAUACAAG
Molecule: ribosomal RNA, 238 nt
Filed under: uncultured bacterium
Lineage: Bacteria
Description: partial 16S ribosomal RNA
Rfam family: Bacterial small subunit ribosomal RNA
Source: RNAcentral